Molecule: non-coding RNA, 12710 nt
Organism: Callithrix jacchus (white-tufted-ear marmoset)
Lineage: Eukaryota; Metazoa; Chordata; Mammalia; Primates; Cebidae
Source: RefSeq, a predicted model, not a curated record
AUGAAUAUUGGUAUUCUAUUCCAAGUAGUGUUUAGACACAGAGCUGAACUGAAAACAAUAUUGAGGUUAUUUCACUUGGAAAAUACCACACCUUUCAUUCGCCGCAGAGGCUAGGUUACUCUUGUAUCUCUCUCACUGAAUGUAAAUUCUCUCUUUUAGAUUUUCAUAUUUUCUACGCUCUCCCAUCCCUGGGUGGUAGUGAAGAGUGUUAAACACUUACACAUAUUUGUUUUUUUAUGGGAGAGCCUGUGUACAUUUGCUACUUAAUACUUGCUACUUGAAUGCCUCUAGCUUCUUGAUUUACUCGUGUUUAAUCAUCAGGUUUGCAUACCGUCUUUAAGUGGUGUGGGAUUUAAACAUUUUAUUGUACUUUUAAAUCCUGAGAAUUUUCUUCCAAUGUAAGUCACAUAAAGCCUCCAGAACAGGUUUCUACAAAAGUGUUUUAAAAACAUACUCCUAUGGAGUAAAGUCUACUUUAUUGUCAUACAAUACUGUGCGUUUUUAUACUUACCCAGUUUCUUGUAACCAUCACCAGGGAAAGAGUACAAAACAAUUUCAACACUGUCAAAGAAUUCCCUCAUAAUGUCACCUUUGUAUUCUGACUCUAGUAACCUUGUUUUUUCUCCAUUUCUAUGUUUUAGCCUUCUCUCCAAUUUUAUAUAAAUAGAUUAUACAGUACUGUAAACUUUGAGAUUGGGUUACUUAAUUUAGGAAAAUACAUUUUAGUUCCUUUCAAGUUGUUGCAUUUAUUAAGUAUUUGCCUUGUUGUAUUGCUGUGUAGAAUUUCAUUAUGUGGGUGUACUAACAAGUUCAUAUGUUUGUUCAUCCAUUAAAGGACAUAUGGAUUAUUUCUAGUUUAUAGCAAUUAUAAAUAGGGCUGUUAUACACAUUUGAAUAUGAGUGUUUGUAUAAAAAUGUUUUUACUUCUCUCAGAUAAAUACCUGUAGUGGGUUUUCUGAGUUAUAUGUUAUGUGUAUGUUUAAGGUUAUGAGAAACCACCAAAGUGUUUUCCCGUGUGACUGUGAUAUUUUACAUAGGUACCAGUAGUAUUUAAGAGUUCAUAACAUUUUCCUAUUCUUUCUAGAACUUGAUAGUGUCAUUACUUUUUAUUAAACCAUUCUACUGGGUGAGUAAUAGUUUCUCAUUGUGCAUUUGAUUUGCAUUUCCAUAAUAACCAAUGAUAUUGAGCAUCUUUUCACAAGCUUAUUUGCCAUCCAUAAAUCUUUUUUGAUGAGAUAUCUGUUAAAAUCUUCAGCUCAUUUUCUUUUUUAAUUUGUUUCUUUUUUAUUGUUCAGUUUUGUAAAUUCUUUAUAUAUUCUGAAUACAAGUUUUUUAUCUGAUAUGCAGUGUGCAAUUUUUUUUCUAGUUUCUGGAUGAUCUUUUUAUUUUGUUAAAAGUUCCCAUAAAAGAGAAAAAUAAGUUUUCAUUUUGAUGAAGUCUAAUUUAUCACAUUUUUCUUUUACAGAUUAUGAUAUUGGUAUUGUAUAUAAAAACUCCUGACUGUCACAAAGAUUUUGUCUUCUAAGAGUUCAAUAGUUUUAUGUUUUACAGUUUUAUAUUUAUAUUAUUUAAAUUUAAAUUUGAGUUAAUUUUUUUAAUAUAGUACAAGUGUAGUUUGAUGAAUAAUUUUUUAGUGGAUGCCAGUUGUUCUAGUUGAAAACACUGCCCUUUCUCCAUUGAAUUGCCUGUGCAUCUUUGUCAAAAAUCAGGUAAUAAUAUUGGAGUGAGUCUAUUUCUAGAAUAUCUUAUCUAUUUCAUUGAUCUAUGUGUUUAUAUUAUACCAAUACUAUACCGUCUUGACACUGUAGCUUUGUAGUAUAUCUCAGAGUUGAAUAAUAUGAGUCCUCCACAUCUGCUCUUCUUUUUCAGUCUUGUUGAAGCUAUACUAGUUCCUUUAUGUAUUCCGUGUAUAUAUUAGAAUAAGGUUUUCUAUAGCUACAAUGAACCCGUACAUAAAUAUUGAUUGAUAUUGUGUUAAAACCAUAUAUUGAUUGGAGAAAAAUUGCUAUUUCAAACUUACUGAGUUGAAUCCACAAGUUUUGUAUAUUUCUUUCUUCAGGACUUCUUUGGUAUGUUCCCUUAAUACUUUGUACUUUUUAGCAUACAGAUUCUGAACAAGUUUUGCUACGUUUAUACCUAAGUAUUUAAUUUUUUUAGCUAUUGUAAAUAGUAUUUUUUAAAACUUUGGUUUCGAAUUUUUCAUUGCUAGUGGAUAGAAAUACUACCGACCUUUUCGUAGACUGAUAUGUAACCUAUAAUCUUGUUUAAUUGGCUUGCUAGCUCUAGCAGUAUUUUUGGUAGACUUGUUGAGACUUCCUAUGUAAACAAUUAUGUGUCAAUAAAAACAGUUGUAUUACUUUCUUUCCAAUCUGAAUUUUUUUUUAUGUCUUUUUCUUGCCUUUUGGAACUGGCUAGAACUUCGAGUAUGAUGUUGAAUAAAACUGGUUCUGGAGUACAUGUGCAGAUCAUGCCGGAUUGUUGCCUAGAGAAGUCACAUGUGAUCCUUAUCUUUUCUUCUCUCUAUAAAUAGGUAAGGUGUUUCUGCCUCCACUCUGGCUUUCUGUAGAAUUUUUUUCUUUAUUUUAGAAUGUUUUAAUGAAAGGUUUAAAAUGAGAUUAAAUUACACAUUUUUCAAAAAAAAAGAAUGUUUGAAAUUUGAAUAUGAUAUGCCUACAUGUAGGAUUUUUUUUGUAUUUGUCUUGAUGUUUUCUGCAAUUCUUAGAUUUAUGAUUUUGUUUCAGCAUUAAUUUGCAGGACAUUCUCAGUCAUUAUUUCUUCAUAUGUUGCUUCUGUUCUCGUUACUGCUAUUAUGUGUUCGUUACAGCUUUUGUACUUGCUCUGGUUCUUGGGUAUUUUGUUCUGUUUGGCGAUUUUUUUCCCAUCUUUUUCUCUUUGAUUCUUGGUUUUGGAGGUUUCUAUUGAUAUAGCCUCAAGCUCCAAGUUUCUUCCUUCAGCCAUGUCUAGUUUACAGUUUGGCUGAAGGAAGGAAUAAGCCCGCCAAAGACAUUCUUUAUUUUUGAUACAGUAAUAUUUAUAGCAUAUUACAAAUAUUUUCUUAGAAUUUCAAUCUCUGCUUAGCUUACAUUAAUCAUCUAUUAUUGCAAGUUGUCUACUUUUGUCCAUUAACGUCCUUAUCAUAUUAUAGUUUUAAAAAAGAUCAUAUUCAGAUAAUUUCAAUAUUCCUGCCAUAUGAAACUGUUUCUAAUGCUUAUUUAGUGUUUUCAAACUGUGUGUGUGUGGGGCGGGGGGUUUGUUGUUUCGGAUUUUUUUUUUUUUUUUUUUUUUUUUUUUUGCCUUUUAGUGAGCCUUGUAAUAGUUUGUUGAAAUACUGAGAUAAUGUACCAUGUAAAAAGAACUUCAGUAUAUAGGCUUUUAUUGAUAUAGUGGUAAGAUGUGGGGAGAGGAAAAGUAUUCUGUAGUCCUAUGAUUACAUGUCAGUUUUUUGAUGAACAUGUAUCCCUAGACUGAACUUCAUCAGUUUUUGUAGAUAUUUUUCCUUCUUGGUUAAAAUAGGUUGAAUAAAGGGGGCUGGAAUUGGAUCUUUCUUUUCUCCUAUGUCAAUUAGGCUCUGAGAAAACUGUAGUAGUUAGGUUCUGUUAUAGAAUAGUUUCUUUAAAGUAUAGACCCUAUAAAGAGGAACACAGUGUUUCGUCAUACAGCUCAGGUUUUCCAACCUUGGCACUUGUUCCUGUAGAUGUUUCUGCUCCAAUAAAUUGUGUUUUCUUGUAUUUACUCUCCAGUUUUGGGGUCAGUGGUUUUCCCUGUAAACUUACUCUCUGACAAAUCUAAGAAAAACUGUUUUUUUUUUUUUCCCCAGUUUGUAUAACUUUCUACUUGUUAAAAUGCAGUGGUGAAUUCUAAGCUUCUUACCUGUAGUACUAAAACCAGAGGUCCCUCUUCCCUUUUUGGUUCAUAAAACUCUCCUUUGCUGUUGUGGGUAGGGAGUCAGGGCUUUGCCUCCCAACAGUUACUAGGAUUAUUCCAGCAAAGUCUACAGGCACACUGUCUCUGGGGAGAGUAAGAGGUUUCGUCUAUUUGCUGGAAGUUACCUAGCACAUGGCAGGGUAAGUCAACAGAGAGCCCUCUCAGGAACAUCAUAGCUGCUGAUGCAGAGAGCAAGUGGCAUUGGUCCUUUCUGUGUUCUCUUGUAUAGGGUAGAAGAGUACACAGGGCUCCAUCCUGCAGGAUAUGUUAUACAGCUUGUGUGGAAAAGGGAAGGGGAACACCUUCAUUGCUGACAUUUACUUGGUAUAAGGUGUGGAGAGUUAACAAAUUUCCUACAGCUCUGUAGAGAGGGGGUGGGCCCUGCCAACAAAGGUUGGCACUCAUCUCAAGUCAGGAGGGCAAAACCUGUUUCACGGCUCCCCUAUUCCUUUACCUGGGCCUCUGACCAGACACAGCAGGCUCUUAGGGCUUUUUCUGUCUGUACUCAUUGUCAGUUACACAUUUUGAGCUGCUUUAGCCUUUGGGCCAGAUUAUACAGAAAGUAGAAUAAAUGAACAACAACAACAAAAUAACAAAAUCCCCAAACUCCCAAACAAAUCACAGUGACUUCAUCACCAAGUUGUAUCUCAAGUUCUGAUAGUUCUGAUAGAGUCUUCUAAUAUAUAUUUUAUCCCAGAGUUCUUCAUUCUAACUGUGGGAGAGAUGUUACUUCAUUUUUUUUCUCUAGAAGCAGAUCCCAGAAUAGUUUUUAAGCAGCUGAAUGGAGUAAAGAAACAACAGUUUAAAUAAAAGAAAAUAUUUAAAGUAACAUGAUUAAUAAUUCAUGGUGAUCAGAGUAUGCAGAGUCAAAGGUUUAUUUCCUCUUUCUCUAAUUAAAGGAGAAUCAUAAAAAAUAACUAUUGGGUACUAGGCUUACUUAGUACCUGGGUGAUGAAAUAAUCUGGACAACAGACCCCUGUGACAUGAGUUUAUUUAUAUAACAAACCUGCUUAUGUACCCCUGCACCCAAAAUAAAAGUUAUAAAAAUUAGAAAUAAAAAAAGGUUGUACCUAUCUUCAAUUCAAACAUAACAGCUUAAUGCUUCUUGUCAUGUUGGCAUGCAUUUUUUAAAUGUGAUUUUUUGAGUAAAAGGAAUUUUAUCAAAUAUUUUAGAACAUAUGACCUUUGUGUGCUAUGAUAAGGUUACCUUGUUUUUAAACAACUCUGAAUUUUGUGAUAACCUGAAGUUGAAAUUUUUGCUUCACGUCUUUUGGUAUGUUGGCAAAAGAUGGUUCUAGUUGCAUGAACUUUUAAUUUCUUCCUUCUAAGAGAUUAAUUCCAAUAUUUACCUGCAUUUCCAGCAGACUAAGCCCAUCAAAAUAUGAAGAUUAUGUAUACAUAGCUCUUAUUAUUCGUCAAAACCUUAUUUUUUUAUUUUUAGAAUGAAAAGAGGAGGGUCAGCCUAUUCAAAUAUAUGCUGUGCUUCAGUGCCUCUACUGAAAUCCAUCUCAUUGCAUGUAACAGCGGAGUAAGACAGGCAGAAGAUAAGCAGUUAAAAUGGAAAAAGAGAAAAACAUGCUGGAAUUAUUGGCAUCUAACAGAAACUUUGUCACUGGGUCUUGGAGUAUUUAGGGUGCAUAACAGGGCACCACUCAGACCUUAACUCCAAGUCAACUUGUCUCUCUAUAUGCAUUAAAUGACUAAGUUUUUAUUAAAUAUUUAGAUUUAAUAAGAAAAUUUUAUCUCAAUUUAAAUCAUAUUUGUCUUCUCUGACUGUGCAAUCUCUUAAUGAAUUGUGAACUGACACUUUAUAUUGACAUUUUACAAGCUCCUAGCAAAAUUGCUUAGCAAAUUGAUUAUUUCCUUCUGAAAUGUUUGAUGAUAUACCCAGCUCUUAUUAAAAUGCCCAAACCUUACUAUCUCACUACUUGUCAAGGGUUCCCAGUGGCAAAUAUCAUAUUCAGUUUUAAUUAUUUGGAAUAGGAACUGAGGGCCUCAAUCCAUUGUAAGUUUUAUUGUAGAAAAAAAUAGACUGCAUACUGUUGUUAUGUGCAGUGAAAAUAUCUACACUUUUUUCCAGUUUCUCUAAGUAAACAUUUUGUGAGUGGUUGUUAGAAAGACAAAAAAGUAUAUAAGUUAUUGUUAAAAAGUCAUUCAUGCUUGCAGGGAUGUAGAGAAAAGAAAACUUACAUACUGUUGGUAGGAAUGUAAAUUAGUACAGCCAUUAUGGAAAAUAGUAUGGACUUUUUCAAUAAACUAAAAGUAGAACUACCAUAAGGUUUUAUAAUCCCACUACUGGGUAUUUAUACAAAGAAAAAGAAAUUAGCAUAUUGAAGGGCUAUCUUUACCCCAUGUUUAUUGCAGCACUGUUCAAAUAGCAAAAAAAUGGAAUCAACCUAAGUGUCCAUCAACAGAUGAAUGAAGAAAGAAAAUAUGGUAAAUGUUCACAAAAAAUAAUACUUGGCCAAAACAUAAUGAAAUCCUGCCAUUUGCAACUAUUUGGAUAGAACUAGAUUUCAUUAUGUUAAGUGAAAGAAGCCAGGCACAGAACGACAAUAUUAUCUAUCCUCACUUACGUAUGUGAGCUGGAAUAGUUGAUGUUACAGAAACAGAGAGUAGAAUAAUACCAGAGGCUGAGAAGGUUGUGCGCAUGUCAAGUAGUGGAGGAACAUGCAAAAAGAUUGGUUAAUGGCUAAAAAUAUACAGUUAGAAGGAAUAAGUUCUACUAUUCAGUAGCAAAGUAGGGUGACUAUAGGUAAUAAAAAUGUGUAGUUCAAAAUAGCUAGAAAUUAGGACUUGAAAUGUUUUCAACAUAUAGAAAUGAUAAUUCCUCUAAGUGAUGGAUACCUUAAACACCCUGAAUUAAUCAUUACAUACACUAUGCACAUAACAAAAUUACAUGUACCUUAUAAAUAUGUAGAAAUAUUUGUACCAAUAAAUUCUUUAGGAAAAGAAUUUAAAGUAUAACAAAACCAAAAAAUGUAAGCCUAUUACCUAAAUCAAGCACGUAUUCUAUUAAAAUUAUUACAUCAAAAAUAUUUCAGGAAACCCUGUGUUCUUUUCUAUUCUCAUCAUAAGAAAAUGGAGCCCUAGAAUAGCUUUUAUCAACUUAAGAAGACAGUAUUCUUGCAGAUCCAGUAAAAAUGAGGAUCUUUUUCAACUAUUAAGUAAUAAUCAAGUUUAUUUUGAGUUGAUUAAUUUUUGAAAACCAAGCAUCCAGCUAAACAUUUAGGAAACUUUGGUGGAAGCUAAGGAGUUCAUAGAAAAAUUGUUUCAAACAUCUGCUAGUUCUGGACUUGUAAGCUAAAAUUUGCAGGAGCUAAUAUGGUGGUUUUUGCUCAGUUCUCUUUGACUGCUGUGGCUUUUCAUGCAAAGAAAUCAGGGAUUUUCAUGCUAGGAUAUGUACAGAAAACAUAUUGGGCUCUCUAAUUUCACUCUUUCACUUGUAGCUUAAGUUUCAGUUUGUUAAAUAAUCCCACUAAUAUUCGUAGGAACUUGGAAAUCGAGAGAGAGAGACAAAUUUUAAAGUCUACCUGGGAUGCUGUUCAAAUACCAUUUGCUGUUCAAAAGAACAUGGGGUUUCCUGAAUUAUUUUUGAAGGUUGUUAUGACCAAAGUGUUACUGUUUGUUUUCCAAGUUAGCUCUUUUGUUUGCUAUUUUAGGAAUGAUUUUUUAACGUUGAACAUAUUUCCAUAAAGUGACUAUCCAACUAAGAUGCCUUGCGUUUCAGUUCCACACUGCAUUAAAUGACUAUCAGAUUUAAGUAGUUGCAAUAUUGCUGAAUAUCUCCUGAGUACUCAUAGGAAUAUUAAUGAGUAUCUGGAAUCUCUCUGACAAGUUUCCUACAUUACUCCAAUGUCAGGAAAUUUUUUAAAAUCUCUCUUCUUCCUAUUGCAUAGACAAUAUCCCAUUGCAAACUGGCUCCUCCCAUCUUAUGAAGGUGUUUGAUUUGAACUAAUUUUUAAAAUUAAGAUUCUUAAAAACGUAGUUGAGAAACCUGUGUAGGUCAGCUCAGUGAAGCCUUGAAAUAUUUUAAAUUCAUUAAAAUCUAUGCAAAAUUGGCAAUAUCUUAGAAAUAACAGAUGACAGGAAGUUACUAGUUCAAUGUCAUAACAUUUAUAUACUCUCUCUUGUGGUGAGACUUUUUUAGGUACUUAAACACCAGUUAAUCACAGAUGCUGCAUAGAUUUUAUUUGGAGGGAAUGCAUGAAUCUGGAUUUUGAUAUUUUUCCCCCCAUAGGACAUUUGGUUGGCUUCUGUCCCUGGAAUGUUGCCAAGACAUAUUUUGACACUUUCACUUUUAAUGAUUCAUUUGUUGAAAUCGUCACUUGGCAUGCAAAUAUUAUUUGUGGGGCCAACAUGAAAAGCUGCCACUCUUCCUUUAUGGCAUUUUAAAAUCUGAUAGAUGAAUAAUGUUUUAUCCACUAUAAUAAUGAACUUCACUUAAAUAUGACACAGAAUUCUUGAAAAUGAUCUUGUUCCUCACAAUUUUUAAGAAUUUAUCUGCAGUAGACAAAAAUAGGAAAGUCUAAUAUUAUAUUACAAAAAUGUUGUUAUAUUAUUUCUUCUGAUUUUUAAAAUACUCCCUGCUUUUACAGAAAAACAGUCAACAUUUUCUCAUUCACUUCUAAAAGCGCUAAGACUAAGGACAGAAACUUAGUAAAACUUAACAAAAUGAAAGGGUGGCAAACUAGAAGUUUUGACAUUAAAGUUAGUUAAAACUGACAUUAAAGUUAGUUAUUGGUUAGGUGACAAAAUAUAUGGAUGAUGGAUUUUUAUAUCAGUGGUUUGAACAGAUACCUUGGCAUUUUAGGAACUCAGGUACAGAGUCAUGGCACCAAUGAACACUAAUAAUUUUUUUUUGACAAUUAAACCUCUGGUUAGCCAGGAAAAAUAGACAUUCUUUACUCACUAAACGAAUGCCUUGUCAGAAUUCAUGUGACCUAACCUUCCAAGUCUAUAUCCUAUCUGAUACAGGUAAAGUAUUACUUUUUAUUACUAAUGACUGACUGUAGUAACUACUAAAACAUAUAUCUGGCAGUAAAAUUUGUCUCUCUGAUCUCUCUAUAUGGAUCUUAAAAGUAAAAAUGGCUAACAAAUGAGCUGUUGGGAGCAUUUUAAGAGUUUAUAUAGAAGCAAUGGAAGAAUAUGGUGUUGUAUAGUCUGUUCAGUAUGUAUUUAGCAGAAGCUUUUAGUUAGGCUCAACUAAUGGAAAGGGUGUGUGAACAUUUUUGCCUAAGCAAAUCCUAUAAAAGUUAACAAAGCAUAUCUUACAAAAAUCAUUUAUUUAACAUCUGCUAUACUUGGCACCGCAUGAAUCAAAAACUGCGUGGACAAAAACCUUUACAAGCCAAUUCUUCAAACAGGAUGCUUACAAUAUGAGAUAGAAGCAAUAAUGGGUCCAAAGUAAGUUAUUACACUGACUUUGUACCAAACAUUCCAGCAGUUCAUCAAGUCUUCCAGUUUAGAGAAGAGAAUACUUAUUUUCAAUUUGGCCUAAUUAGAAAAAACAAUUAUUUAUGGAAAGUUUGGGACUUAAAAAUGGCAUCUACUACCAGAUCAUGCUGAGUCUUUUUUCUACCUCUCUGGCUGUGUUUGUUUGUUUACUUUUCCAGCUUCUCCUUUUUCAUGUGCCCAUUACAUGUUAGAGUUCUGUAAGACCUUCACUCUUUUCUUCUUCUUACUUUCUCCUGAAAUAAGUUUGCCAAAGUCUAUGACUUCUAUUAGUAUCUGUACAUUAAUGGCAUCUCAAUAUGCAUCUGCAGAUUAAGCCUCUCCUCAGAUUCUGGUGUACAACUGCCUUUACUCUGAUGUCUCAACAGCACCACAAAAAAACAACAACUACAAGACUGAAUAUGUGAUCCUUCUAAGCCUUCUCCUCAUUAGCAAUUUCUGGCUUAAAAAUGAUGCCAACAUCCAACCAGAUGCUCAAGUCAAAAACCACAGAAUCAUCCUUAACUCUCUGUCUUACUCAUGUUCCAUAUUCAAUGUAUCAUCAAAUUCUGUCCGUUUUAAUGGUAAAGAAAUUCUAGUCUUUAUUAUUACUAUCAUGACCUUAGUCUACUGUAGUGUCUUUUCAGGUGGUUUUCCUAUGUAAACUGUGACACCCACCCUCAACAAUUCUUUAUUUUCCAUGAUGAUACUAAGACAAGUAUCCACUUUGAAGUAAAAGAAGCUAAUCUGGAAAGGCUACAUACUGAACUAUUCCAAUUAUAUGACAUGCUGGAAAAGGACCUUGAAGACAGUAUAAAGAUUAGUGGUUGCCAUGGGUUAGGGGAAAGGGAGGGAUGAGUGAGCAGAGAACAGGGAGUAUUUAGGUCAGUAAAACUAUUCUGAAUGACACUGUAAUGGUGGAUACCUGUCUUAUACAUUUGACAAAACCUAUACAUGUACAAGAGUGGACCAUAAUGUAGUAAUGUAAACUAUGGACUAGGGUGAUGAUGGUGUGCUAAUGUUGGUUCAUCAGUUGAAACAAAUAAAUCGCUUUGGUACAAAAUUUUGAUAAUGGAGGCUGUGUAUAUGUAGUGGUAAAGUGCAUAUAAGAAUCCUACUUUCUUGUUUGAUUUUGCUAUGAAUCUAAAACUAAUUUAAAAAACACAGCUGGGUGUGGUGGCUUAUGCCUGUAAUCCCAGCACUUUGGGAGGUUGAAGCAGGUAGAUUGCUUGAGCCCAGGAGUUUAAGACCAGCCUAGGCAACAUGGCAAAACCCCAUCUCUACAAAAAAUUAGCCAGACGUGAUGGUGUGCACUUGUAGAAUCAGCUACUCAGGAAGCUAAGGUGGGAGGAUCAUCUGAGCCUGGGAGGUUGAGGCUAUAGUGCACUAUAAUCAAUGCCAGUGCACUCUAGCCUGGGUGACAGAGUGAGAUCCUAUCUCAAAGAAGCAAACAAAAAACCUCAAUAUUAAAUCUACUCUGAUCUUACAUCUUCUCCUCACUACUGAAAAUGCUUUAUUGCCUUUUAAGAGCUGCUAAAAUGAGUUGGAAGUUGCUAGCACAGUACUUAUCCACCUCCGUUAGCACCGUAUCCUCCAUUCUCACUCUUUUUGUGCUCUGUUUUCCAGCCACACUGGUCCUUUUGAGGUAUCAAUGGUUACUGUGCAGUCAGUCCUUCCCUAGGGCUUUUGACCCAUCCCCUUCUCCUUGCCUAAUAAAUAUCUACUCAUCCUUCAGAUCUGCUCAUUGUUAUUUCCUAAGGAAAAAGUUCUUUGAGGCCUGUAUCUUUCUGCCAAAUUGAUUGCUAUUGCUGUGUCUUUCAUAUAUAUAUAUGAAAGAUAUAUAUAUGAAAGAUAUGUAUGAAUAUAUAUGAGAUAUAUAUAUAUAUGAAAGACACACAUAUGUAUAAAUACAUAUAUAUAUGAAAGACACAGCAAUAGCAAUCAAUAUAUAUAAUUAUUCCCCAGAGCUCUUACCACUUUUAUUUAUAUUUAGACAUUUAGAAUUAUUAGAUAUUCAUAAUUAUUUAUUAACAUCUGUCUCCACUACUAGACUGUAAGCAUCUUGAAGCAAUAUGCUGACUGUUUUUGAUCACCCCUGAGACCAGUGAGUGAUUGCAACACAGGAGGCAUUUAGCAAAUAUUUAUGGAAUGAAUGAAUGAAUGAAUGAAUAGAAGAAAGAAUAAGGACUGCCAGAUGUACUGUUGGUUACAAGUUUGCUUACUGUUCUAUCUAGCUAUUAGAGCUUUGGAGUCACUGAAAUAUUAGUAUUUUAGAAAACAUUCAGAACAUGCAUUUUAAAAAGUCUCAUCACCAUGUAUAUAUAUGUAUAUAUGUAUGUAUGUAUAUAUGGUCUUAAUACUGGCUGUCAUAAGCAUACCUUCCAGAGGAAUCCAAGGCUGCCCUAUGGCUAAUCAUUUUAUUUCUGAGUCUAUUGUAUAUGGUGUGUGUGUGUAUGUGUGUAUAUAUAUAUAUAUAUAUAUAUAUAUAUAUAUGGUGACAGGACUUUUAAAAAUGCACAUAUAUAUACAUACAUAUUCAUAUAUACACAUAUACAUAUAUAUGCAUAUGUGUAUAUAUGGUGAAACUUUUUAAAAUGCAUGUAUAUGUACAUACAUGUAUCUAUCCAUAUGUGUAUACACACACAUAUCUCUCCACACAUAAACACACACACACACACACACACACAGAUACAUAUAUAUAUAUCCCUAAGCAUCUGCAUUUAAUGUGGUUAGUCAACACUUGUGAUUUCAGAUAGAUGCCAGUCUUGUGAACUUAAGCAAUAUAAGUAUAGUUCUUCAACAGUGGGGAUUAUCUGAUGUCGAGGCCUUUCUCCAUAUCCAGCCUCUUUCAAGUCCUGAAAAAUCAUCUCUGAAUGGAUGGCCACUAAAGAAAUUUCAUUGUUUACUAACAGACUCAGAAAUAAAAUUAUUCGUUAGCCAUAAGGCAGCCUUGGAUUCCUCUGGAAGGUAUGCUUAUGGCAGGCAGCAUUAAGACCAAAUCACCAUGAGGCUGCCUGUUUGCAGAGGUUUGUUUACACCUGGUAUCUACUAUACAUUUUCUCUGACUUCAUUAAUAAACAAUUGAGACAAACCAUUUCCUUACUUUCUGGGUAAGCUAAGCAAGUUAUCUUAAUUACUGUCAACCUUUAGUGACUACCAUGGGGAUUCUAACCAUUCACUUCAGUAGUUAUUAUACAAAUUACUUAUGAAUUUUAAAUAGGCAGCCAUGGAUUUUUGGGUUCUCUUACAUGUACCUUUUUUCCCAGAUGAAAUUAUGUGUUUGUAUAUCUAUAGCUAUAUGGUAGAUGUAUAUAUAUAGAAAUAUGUAUAUUCUAAAUGAAUGCCUUUCCUUG